This is a long non-coding RNA of Equus asinus (donkey), 1582 nucleotides long. The record is from Ensembl. NCBI's taxonomy places the organism in Eukaryota, Metazoa, Chordata, Mammalia, Perissodactyla, Equidae.
UUAAGCUGAAACCUGUUGGGUGAGGUGGAGUUAGCCAGCUGAAAGUGGUAGAUUUCAGGAAGAGGCUGUUCCAGACGAGCAGGGAGAGCAUCCUGUGUUCAGAACCAAAGGGAGUUUAGUUGGUUGGUGAUUUAAAAUUGGAGGUGGAGUUGGUAUGGGAGUGUGUGUGGAGUGGGCAGGAUAAGGUCAUAAAGGGCCUGGCGAACCGUGUUAAGAAAUUUUAAACUUUAUCUCAAGGGUAGUGGGAAAUCAUUGAAGAGUUUUAAGAUGGUGAGUUAUGUAAUUAGAAGUGCAGAUGGGAAAAUUUCCUCCAGCUUGGGGAUGCGAAGGAUGGCCUGAGAACAGAGGCACCUGUAGUGAUACCCAGGUGAGAGACAUCCUAGCCUGGCUCGGACAGGGAUUUGAGGCUAGAAGAAGUGGGUGGACAGAGUGGAGUUUGGGAGUAGGAGCUCUGUGAGCUUGCUACAGAAACUGAAGUGGGUUCCCUCGUGGCGAGUUAAAUCAGACUCUCCACCAGAAGUAGUUCUCUCACAAACCUUCUCAAGUUGCAGCGUGAGAGUCCCUCAGACACGCUGGCUGCUCGUUUGAUUAUCGGUGUUUUGCACGAUACAAAAGGUUGCUUGCUAAAUUUUGUGAGCCCCUCUAAUGUGAGAGUGACAGUGUCCUGGGUCCAAUGAACAAGAAAAUUUACUGUCACGUAUCAUCAAUGGGGAAGUGCUUGAAUUCACAGAACAGCCUUGGAGAGUCCCGGAGAGGAAGACAAAGCUCAGAAGUUAAGUGAUUUGACUAAAGUCACAGACUUGUCACGUGUGAGGUAGAAGGUGACUCUGUGAUGAGGACUUGCGUUUCUCUUGAGGAACUUGAUGCCACGUAUGGUGACCUGGCCCCUGGGGAUGGGAUGGAUGGUUCCAGUGCUCCUCCAUCCGGCUGCAGUCCUCCACCCCAAACCAACUCCGCUGUGGGAUGUGGCGAGGCUGUUGGGGCAGAGGUCUCUCCUCGGUCCGCCUGGCACCCGGCCACUUCCAGCUGCUCGAUGUGCUCCCUGGCAGUCCUCCUGCCACCCCUCCAUUAUGUCAGCUCUGUUUCCAAAAGCAUAACUUGGUAUCCCUGUAUUAUUCAUCAUUCUCUUAUUUAUAUCCCCUCAGUGUGUCAUACUACUUUUCUGGUUUCUAAUUGUAUUCACUUCUACAUAGACUUACAAGAGAUUUACCUCUUUAGAUUUUUAAACCAGCUUUUGAAUGUAUCACUUCUGUUUUUUCUGUCAUUUAAUGCAUUCAUUGUUGCUGAAGCAUUUUAUUUUGUAACGCUUUUUCUAACAAAUGGAGUUGAGUGUUUUUCCUCAUUUGGAUAUGUAGUUCAUUUAUUUUGAUUACUUAGGGCUUGCAUUUACCAUUGUGCCCACCUUGACCAGAUCCCAUAAGAUUUGUUAUGUAGGGUUUGUGUGUUUUUGUUAAUUCUACACCUUUCCCACCCUAAAUCUUCUUGUUAUUUUGAAAAUAGUCUCAUAUUAGGAUUUAUAUUUCUUUGAAACAACAAUUACUUAGGAGAAUAGUUUCUUUGUCUUCACGUAUUGGGUUUUUUG